Molecule: ribosomal RNA, 460 nt
Filed under: uncultured bacterium
Lineage: Bacteria
Description: partial 16S ribosomal RNA
Rfam family: Bacterial small subunit ribosomal RNA
Source: RNAcentral
CCUACGGGUGGCAGCAGUGAGGAAUAUUGGUCAAUGGACGCAAGUCUGAACCAGCCAUGCCGCGUGCAGGAAGACGGCUCUAUGAGUUGUAAACUGCUUUUGUACGAGGGUAAACGCAGAUACGCGUAUCUGUCUGACAGUAUCGUACGAAUAAGGAUCGGCUAACUCCGUGCCAGCAGCCGCGGUAAUACGGAGGAUUCAAGCGUUAUCCGGAUUUAUUGGGUUUAAAGGGUGCGUAGGCGGUUCGAUAAGUUAGAGGUGAAAUCCCGGGGCUCAACUCCGGCACUGCCUCUGAUACUGUCGGGCUAGAGUUUAGUUGCGGUAGGCGGAAUGUAUGGUGUAGCGGUGAAAUGCAUAGAGAUCAUACAGAACACCGAUUGCGAAGGCAGCGUACCGGCGCCAGACUGACGCUGAGGCACGAAAGCGUGGGGAUCGAACAGGAUUAGAUACCCCGGUAGUC